This 292-nucleotide ribosomal RNA is filed under the name uncultured Verrucomicrobiota bacterium. RNAcentral describes it as "uncultured Verrucomicrobia bacterium partial 16S ribosomal RNA". Lineage: Bacteria; Pseudomonadati; Verrucomicrobiota. The record is from RNAcentral.
GGACUACACGGGUAUCUAAUCCCGUUUGCUCCCCUGGCUUUCGUGCCUGAGCGUCAGGAACUGUCCAGAGACCCGCCUUCGCCACCGGUGUUCUGGUCGAUCUCUACGCAUUUCACCGCUACACCGACCAUUCCAGUCUCCUCUCCAGUCCUCAAGCCCGCCAGUUUCGAAUGACCUAUCACAGUUAGGCUGUGAGAUUUCACAUCCGACUUAACGAGCCGCCUGCGCACCCUUUACGCCCAAUGAAUCCGAACAACGCUUGCAGUCUCUGUAUUACCGCGGCUGCUGGCAC